AGACGGAGUUCUUCGGAACAAGACUUUUUAACUUAGUGGCGGACGGGUGAGUAACACGUGAGCAACCUGCCUUUCAGAGGGGGAUAACGGCUGGAAACGGUCGCUAAUACCGCAUGAUAUAUUGAAUCGGCAUCGGUUCGAUAUCAAAGGAGCAAUCCGCUGAAAGAUGGGCUCGCGUCUGAUUAGAUAGUUGGUGGGGUAACGGCCUACCAAGUCGACGAUCAGUAGCCGGACUGAGAGGUUGAACGGCCACAUUGGGACUGAGAUACGGCCCAGACUCCUACGGGAGGCAGCAGUGGGGAAUAUUGCACAAUGGGGGAAACCCUGAUGCAGCAACGCCGCGUGAAGGAAGACGGUUUUCGGAUUGUAAACUUCUUUUCUUAGUGAAGAAGCAAGUGACGGUAGCUAAGGAAUAAGCAUCGGCUAACUACGUGCCAGCAGCCGCGGUAAUACGUAGGAUGCGAGCGUUAUCCGGAAUUACUGGGUGUAAAGGGAGCGCAGGCGGGACUGCAAGUUGGAUGUGAAAUGCCGCAGCUUAACUGCGGAGCUGCAUCCAAAACUGUAGUUCUUGAGUGGAGUAGAGGCAAGCGGAAUUCCGAGUGUAGCGGUGAAAUGCGUAGAUAUUCGGAGGAACACCAGUGGCGAAGGCGGCUUGCUGGGCUCUAACUGACGCUGAGGCUCGAAAGUGUGGGGAGCAAACAGGAUUAGAUACCCUGGUAGUCCACACUGUAAACGAUGAUAGCU
RNAcentral lists this ribosomal RNA (744 nucleotides) under uncultured bacterium. RNAcentral describes it as "bacterial SSU rRNA". It matches the Rfam family "Bacterial small subunit ribosomal RNA", at positions 64 to 817 of the family's 1533-position model. The record is from RNAcentral.